UACGUAGGGUGCAAGCGUUGUCCGGAAUUAUUGGGCGUAAAAGAGCUCGUAGGCGGUCUGUCGCGUCGGCUGUGAAAAACUCGGGGGCUCAACCCCCGAGCCUGCAGUCGAUACGGGCAGACUAGAGUGCUGUAGGGGGAGACUGGAAUUCCUGGUGUAGCGGUGAAAUGCGCAGAUAUCAGGAGGAACACCGGUGGCGAAAGGGCGGGGUCUCUGGGGCAGUAAACUGA
This 230-nucleotide ribosomal RNA is filed under the name uncultured bacterium. Its description in RNAcentral is "partial 16S ribosomal RNA". It matches the Rfam family "Bacterial small subunit ribosomal RNA", at positions 524 to 743 of the family's 1533-position model. The record is from RNAcentral.